RNAcentral lists this small RNA (28 nucleotides) under Bombyx mori (domestic silkworm). Its description in RNAcentral is "piRNA piR-bmo-1373219". Lineage: Eukaryota; Metazoa; Arthropoda; Insecta; Lepidoptera; Bombycidae. The record is from RNAcentral.
UGACAGAACAGAUAGGGAUGCGGCAUUG